AUUAGUUCGCUUCCCUGUCUCCUUUUGGACAGCUUAGCUUGACCUGGGGAAUCUUCAGGAAUCUGUGACAUCAGUUGAGCUCCAGAAGGGCAGCGUGACCACAGAAGUGCUGAACAAGGAGAAGGCCCUGCUGCAGACAAGCAGCUAGAGUGAGAAUAAAAACAACAGGAUCACAGGGGCAACUCUGCACGAUCCAUGUGACAUUGGACAGCCUGUCUCUUUUUGGAGUAAGAAUCAAGACAACCAGAUCACAGAGACAGACCCUUCCUGAUCCACGUGACAUUGGGUAAGGCUCUUUUCAUUUUGCAAAAUACUUCACAUUAAAAACAUGUUGAGAACUCAGG
RNAcentral lists this long non-coding RNA (344 nucleotides) under Bos mutus (wild yak). Its description in RNAcentral is "lncRNA (ENSBMUG00000019991.1)". The record is from RNAcentral. Lineage: Eukaryota; Metazoa; Chordata; Mammalia; Artiodactyla; Bovidae.